Molecule: transfer RNA, 76 nt
Filed under: Domibacillus epiphyticus
Lineage: Bacteria; Bacillati; Bacillota; Bacilli; Caryophanales; Bacillaceae
Description: tRNA-Phe
Rfam family: tRNA
About the family: Transfer RNA (tRNA) molecules are approximately 80 nucleotides in length. Their secondary structure includes four short double-helical elements and three loops (D, anti-codon, and T loops).
Source: RNAcentral
GGCUCAGUAGCUCAGUUGGUAGAGCAAAGGACUGAAAAUCCUUGUGUCGGCGGUUCGAAUCCGUCCUGAGCCACCA